RNAcentral lists this ribosomal RNA (254 nucleotides) under uncultured bacterium. RNAcentral's name for it is "partial 16S ribosomal RNA". It matches the Rfam family "Bacterial small subunit ribosomal RNA", at positions 524 to 776 of the family's 1533-position model. The record is from RNAcentral.
GACGAACCGUGCGAACGUUAUUCGGAAUCACUGGGCUUAAAGCGCGUGUAGGCGGAUGGGGACGUCGGUCGCUGAAAGCCCCCGGCUCAACCGGGGAAGUGGCGCCGAAACGCCCCGUCUGGAGGGACGUAGGGGGACCUGGAACUUCCGGUGGAGCGGUGAAAUGCGUUGAGAUCGGAAGGAACGCCCGUGGCGAAAGCGAGGUCCUGGACGUCUGCUGACGCUGAGACGCGAAAGCUAGGGGAGCGAACGGG